This 229-nucleotide long non-coding RNA is filed under the name Brassica napus (rape). RNAcentral's name for it is "long non-coding RNA (BNAP_LNC009344)". The record is from RNAcentral. Lineage: Eukaryota; Viridiplantae; Streptophyta; Magnoliopsida; Brassicales; Brassicaceae.
UGAGGUAUCCUCACAAUGGAAUUCGAUGGUUAAGUAAUAUUAUGAAAAGAUAUGUAGGAAUGUAUCUAUUGACUCAUUUGAUUUUGUAGACCAAGAGGAAAGUAGCUAUUGUAUUUAGAUAGUUAGGAAAACCCUAAUUUCCCAGAGGUCACGGAUAUCUGCUAAACCACACGCCAAGCAAUCAGAACACGAAAUAAAGAUGAGAAAAAUAAGAAAUCGAAAAAGUGAG